GGAAGGUCCGGGCGUUAUCCGGAUUUAUUGGGUUUAAAGGGAGCGUAGGCGGGCUGUCAAGUCAGCGGUAAAAUCGUGCGGCUCAACCUUAAAAUUGCAGUUGAAACUGGCAUUCUUGAGUGCGGCAGAGGCAGGCGGAAUUCGUGGUGUAGCGGUGAAAUGCUUAGAUAUCACGAAGAACUCCGAUUGCGAAGGCAGCUUGCUGGAGCGUAACUGACGUUGAUGCUCGAAAGUGUGGGUAUC
RNAcentral lists this ribosomal RNA (243 nucleotides) under uncultured bacterium. RNAcentral's name for it is "partial 16S ribosomal RNA". It matches the Rfam family "Bacterial small subunit ribosomal RNA", at positions 527 to 769 of the family's 1533-position model. The record is from RNAcentral.